ACUCAAAUGAAUUGACGGGGGCCCGCACAAGCGGUGGAGCAUGUGGUUUAAUUCGAAGCAACGCGAAGAACCUUACCAGGUCUUGACAUCCCACUGCCCGGUAUAGAGAUAUACCUUUCCCUUCGGGGACAGUGGUGACAGGUGGUGCAUGGUUGUCGUCAGCUCGUGUCGUGAGAUGUUGGGUUAAGUCCCGCAACGAGCGCAACCCUUGAUCUUAGUUGCCAGCAUUUAGUUGGGCACUCUAAGGUGACUGCCGGUGACAAACCGGAGGAAGGUGGGGAUGACGUCAAAUCAUCAUGCCCCUUAUGACCUGGGCUACACACGUGCUACAAUGGAUGGUACAAAGGGCUGCGAGACUGCGAAGUCAAGCCAAUCCCAUAAAACCAUUCUCAGUUCGGAUUGCAGGCUGCAACUCGCCUGCAUGAAGCUGGAAUCGCUAGUAAUCGUGGAUCAGCAUGCCACGGUGAAUACGUUCCCGGGCCUUGCACACACCGCCCGU
Molecule: ribosomal RNA, 499 nt
Filed under: uncultured bacterium
Lineage: Bacteria
Description: partial 16S ribosomal RNA
Rfam family: Bacterial small subunit ribosomal RNA
Source: RNAcentral